GGAUUGUGGCUCAGUGGUAGAACACUUGCCUGGCACGUAUGAGACAUUGGGUUUGAUUCUCAGCACCA
RNAcentral lists this transfer RNA (68 nucleotides) under Marmota monax (woodchuck). Its description in RNAcentral is "tRNA.Ala". Lineage: Eukaryota; Metazoa; Chordata; Mammalia; Rodentia; Sciuridae. The record is from RNAcentral.